Molecule: non-coding RNA, 93 nt
Organism: Panus rudis PR-1116 ss-1
Lineage: Eukaryota; Fungi; Basidiomycota; Agaricomycetes; Polyporales; Panaceae
Source: the annotation of a GenBank genome assembly
GGGCAUGUGGUGUAGUUGGUUAUCACGCUCGCUUAGCAUCCGCCGUCAGGCAGUGCUUGCGAGAGGGGUCCGGUUCAAUCCCGGACAUGUCCA